This 482-nucleotide ribosomal RNA is filed under the name uncultured bacterium. RNAcentral's name for it is "partial 16S ribosomal RNA". It matches the Rfam family "Bacterial small subunit ribosomal RNA", at positions 28 to 507 of the family's 1533-position model. The record is from RNAcentral.
GACGAACGCUGGCGGCGUGCUUAACACAUGCAAGUCGAACGAUGAAGAAGAGAAACGCGAACUUCGGUUCAACUUUCACUUCGGAUUAGUGGCAGACGGGUGAGUAACGCGUGAGCAACCUACCUCUUACAAAGGGAUAGCCUCGGGAAACCGUGAUUAAUACCAUAUGACACAUUCAUAAGGCAUCUUAAGAAUGUUAAAGCUACGGCGGUAAGAGAUGGGCUCGCGUCCCAUUAGCUAGUUGGUGAGGUAACGGCCCACCAAGGCGACGAUGGGUAACCGGCCUGAGAGGGUGAACGGUCACAUUGGAACUGAGGCACGGUCCAAACUCCUACGGGAAGCAGCAGUGGGGAAUAUUGCACAAUGGAGGGAACUCUGAUGCAGCGACGCCGCGUGAGCGAUGAAGGAAUUCGUUUCGUAAAGCUCUGUUCUAUGGGAAGAAAAGGACUGUACCAUAGGAGAAAGCCCCGGCUAAAUACGUG